GACGAACGCUGGCGGCGUGCCUAAUACAUGCAAGCCGAACGCUUCUUUCCUCCCGAGUGCUUGCACUCAAUUGGAAAGAGGAGUGGCGGACGGGUGAGUAACACGUGGGUAACCUACCCAUCAGAGGGGGAUAACACUUGGAAACAGGUGCUAAUACCGCAUAACAGUUUAUGCCGCAUGGCAUAAGAGUGAAAGGCGCUUUCGGGUGUCGUUGAUGGAUGGACCCGCGGUGCAUUAGCUAGUUGGUGAGGUAACGGCUCACCAAGGCCACGAUGCAUAGCCGACCUGAGAGGGUGAUCGGCCACACUGGGACUGAGACACGGCCCAGACUCCUACGGGAGGCAGCAGUAGGGAAUCUUCGGCAAUGGACGAAAGUCUGACCGAGCAACGCCGCGUGAGUGAAGAAGGUUUUCGGAUCGUAAAACUCUGUUGUUAGAGAAGAACAAGGACGUUAGUAACUGAACGUCCCCUGACGGUAUCUAACCAGAAAGCCACGGCUAACUACGUG
RNAcentral lists this ribosomal RNA (508 nucleotides) under uncultured bacterium. Its description in RNAcentral is "partial 16S ribosomal RNA". It matches the Rfam family "Bacterial small subunit ribosomal RNA", at positions 28 to 507 of the family's 1533-position model. The record is from RNAcentral.